AGCGGGUCUGGAGCUGGCGAGACGGCCAGGGCCGGCGAGCGCGGUGCAGCGCCGCGCGGUGCGGGCGGCCGGGUGGGGGCGUCAUGGAGGAUGAGCGGAGCUUUUCGGAUAUCUGCGGCGGCCGCCUGGCGCUGCAGCGCCGCUACUACUCCCCGUCCUGCCGGGAAUUCUGCCUCAGCUGCCCUCGGCUCUCGCUGCGUUCGCUCACCGCUGUCACCUGCACGGUGUGGCUGGCGGCCUACGGACUCUUCACCCUCUGCGAGAACAGCAUGAUCCUCUCUGCUGCCAUCUUCAUCACCCUCUUAGGUCUGCUUGGUUAUCUCCAUUUUGUGAAGAUUGAUCAGGAGACUCUGUUAAUCAUUGAUUCCCUUGGCAUUCAGAUGACUUCAUCUUAUGCUUCAGGCAAAGAAAGCACUACCUUCAUAGAAAUGGGCAAGGUCAAGGAUAUUGUCAUCAAUGAGGCCAUUUACAUGGUAAGUGUUUAAAAGGUAAGUAUUACAGGCCUCUCUGGAGGAGGUAGCCAGCCCAUGGGAUGUUCUCAGAUUUAAACUAAAACCCUAAAAGUGAGACUUAUAUUUAAAAGGUAAAUCUCUUUAUUUUUAAAGAGAUGCAGCAGGUUUUCAUGGAUAGGGAAUUAGCAUUUCAACUUUAUCUUCAAGACCAACUUCAAAAUUAUCACUGGCAUUUUUUCCUUCUCUUUCUAUCUUUUUUCUUUUUUUUUUUUGAGACAGGGUCUCACUCUGUUGCCCAGGCUGGAGUGCAGUGGCUCGAUCACAGCUCACUGCAGCCUCAACUUCCCAGGCUCAAGCCAUUCUCCCACCUCAGCCUCCUGAGUAGCUGGGACUACAGGCAUGCACCACCAUGCUUGGCUCGUUUUUUCUAUUUUUUGCAGAGAUGCAGUCUCACUAUGUUGCCUAGGCUGGUCUUGAAUUCCUGGGCUCAAGCCAUCCUCCUGCUGUGG
RNAcentral lists this small RNA (961 nucleotides) under Pan troglodytes (chimpanzee). RNAcentral's name for it is "retained intron". Lineage: Eukaryota; Metazoa; Chordata; Mammalia; Primates; Hominidae. The record is from RNAcentral.